This 477-nucleotide ribosomal RNA is filed under the name uncultured bacterium. Its description in RNAcentral is "partial 16S ribosomal RNA". It matches the Rfam family "Bacterial small subunit ribosomal RNA", at positions 30 to 507 of the family's 1533-position model. The record is from RNAcentral.
AUUGAACGCUGGCGGCAUGCCUUACACAUGCAAGUCGAACGGUAACAGGUUAAGCUGACGAGUGGCGAACGGGUGAGUAAUGUAUCGGAACGUGCCCAGUCGUGGGGGAUAACUGCUCGAAAGAGCAGCUAAUACCGCAUACGACCUGAGGGUGAAAGCGGGGGAUCGCAAGACCUCGCGCGAUUGGAGCGGCCGAUAUCAGAUUAGGUAGUUGGUGAGGUAAAGGCUCACCAAGCCGACGAUCUGUAGCUGGUCUGAGAGGACGACCAGCCACACUGGGACUGAGACACGGCCCAGACUCCUACGGGAGGCAGCAGUGGGGAAUUUUGGACAAUGGGCGCAAGCAUGAUCCAGCCAUGCCGCGUGCGGGAAGAAGGCCUUCGGGUUGUAAAACGCUUUUGUCAGGGAAGAAAAGGUUCUGGCUAAUACCUGGGACUCAUGACGGUACCUGAAGAAUAAGCACCGGCUAACUACGUG